RNAcentral lists this ribosomal RNA (1372 nucleotides) under uncultured bacterium. RNAcentral's name for it is "bacterial SSU rRNA". It matches the Rfam family "Bacterial small subunit ribosomal RNA", at positions 28 to 1381 of the family's 1533-position model. The record is from RNAcentral.
GAUGAACGCUGGCGGCGUGCCUAAUACACGCAAGUCGAGCGAACGGACGAGAAGCUUGCUUCUCUGAUGUUAGCGGCGGACGGGUGAGUAACACGUGGAUAACCUACCUAUAAGACUGGGAUAACUUCGGGAAACCGUAGCUAAUACCGGAUAAUAUUUUGAACCGCAUGGUUCAAAAGUGAAAGACGGUCUUGCUGUCACUUAUAGAUGGAUCCGCGCUGCAUUAGCUAGUUGGUAAGGUAACGGCUUACCAAGGCAACGAUGCAUAGCCGACCUGAGAGGGUGAUCGGCCACACUGGAACUGAGACACGGUCCAGACUCCUACGGGAGGCAGCAGUAGGGAAUCUUCCGCAAUGGGCGAAAGCCUGACGGAGCAACGCCGCGUGAGUGAUGAAGGUCUUCGGAUCGUAAAACUCUGUUAUUAGGGAAGAACAUAUGUGUAAGUAACUGUGCACAUCUUGACGGUACCUAAUCAGAAAGCCACGGCUAACUACGUGCCAGCAGCCGCGGUAAUACGUAGGUGGCAAGCGUUAUCCGGAAUUAUUGGGCGUAAAGCGCGCGUAGGCGGUUUUUUAAGUCUGAUGUGAAAGCCCACGGCUCAACCGUGGAGGGUCAUUGGAAACUGGAAAACUUGAGUGCAGAAGAGGAAAGUGGAAUUCCAUGUGUAGCGGUGAAAUGCGCAGAGAUAUGGAGGAACACCAGUGGCGAAGGCGACUUUCUGGUCUGUAACUGACGCUGAUGUGCGAAAGCGUGGGGAUCAAACAGGAUUAGAUACCCUGGUAGUCCACGCCGUAAACGAUGAGUGCUAAGUGUUAGGGGGUUUCCGCCCCUUAGUGCUGCAGCUAACGCAUUAAGCACUCCGCCUGGGGAGUACGACCGCAAGGUUGAAACUCAAAGGAAUUGACGGGGACCCGCACAAGCGGUGGAGCAUGUGGUUUAAUUCGAAGCAACGCGAAGAACCUUACCAAAUCUUGACAUCCUUUGACAACUCUAGAGAUAGAGCCUUCCCCUUCGGGGGACAAAGUGACAGGUGGUGCAUGGUUGUCGUCAGCUCGUGUCGUGAGAUGUUGGGUUAAGUCCCGCAACGAGCGCAACCCUUAAGCUUAGUUGCCAUCAUUAAGUUGGGCACUCUAAGUUGACUGCCGGUGACAAACCGGAGGAAGGUGGGGAUGACGUCAAAUCAUCAUGCCCCUUAUGAUUUGGGCUACACACGUGCUACAAUGGACAAUACAAAGGGCAGCGAAACCGCGAGGUCAAGCAAAUCCCAUAAAGUUGUUCUCAGUUCGGAUUGUAGUCUGCAACUCGACUACAUGAAGCUGGAAUCGCUAGUAAUCGUAGAUCAGCAUGCUACGGUGAAUACGUUCCCGGGUCU